GGGAUGGGGAGGGCAUUUCUGGCACAUUGGGAGCAGCUGCUGGGGGCUGGCAGUGCUCCCCUGCCCUGAGACCUGCAGCAGCACGGUGCUGAAGUAGCUGUGGUUCCUGAGGUCUGUGUGGUCCAGGCUCACUCUGUAGGAGAGAGGGGGAGAAAUCAGCUGCUCCUCGAGGAGAUCCGUCUCCAUCGCUCGUCCGGCUGCAUCCCUUCAUAAAUCUUCCCCGUAAGCCUGGGCUGGCGAUUGCUGGAAAAAAACAUCAGCACCUUCUCAGGCUGCCAUCUGUUUAUUUGGUUGGACUUGGAACUUGCUGAAAUGUCUUUCGAUGGAUGAAGCAACGGAGAGUAGAAGAACAGAGCCUGGCAGGCUGCUUGCUUUUAGGUACCCAGUUCAAUUCACUGAGCUGCUCUGAUGGGUUCUGAAGCGGUGCCCGUUGUGAGGCCACCAUUUGGAGUUUUUGGAGACCCUUCCCUUGCCCGUGGGCAUCUUGGGCUGAGCGUUUUGGAAUGAAGCUGCUCUCUCUGAUGGCACAGAGGGCAAAACAAAACAGAUCAUUUCCUCGGUUUAAUGUGAGCCAAUUAUGGCUCAUGGGCUGUUAACUUCAUCACCGCUCCUUCCAAGAAAGACGUUGGGUAAAAUGAACCAGCGCGGCUCCGCAUGCGCCCGGCGCAGCCUCAGCCCCGGCCAUUUAUCCCCACGGAUGGAAAAAAGCUAAAGCCUACGUCGCACAAAUGCCCUCUAAAGUAUCCAACCACUUGUUGUACAUCUGCUGACGGAUACCAACUGGAAAGGAGAUUAGCGCUCAGACUCCCGCGCUGGGCUGUCUGCUCUUCCUAAUGAGGACCAGAUUGCAGCCUACGCCAGCGCUGCACCUCCAGCGGAUGGCGGGGUGGGGAGGUGCCAGGGCGCGUGCCAGCAGUGUGGGACUGUGUGGGCUGCAGGACAGGGCUGGGUGCUGCUGGGACACGCAGUGGGGCCGGGGGUGGCAUGGGG
Molecule: long non-coding RNA, 990 nt
Filed under: Gallus gallus (chicken)
Lineage: Eukaryota; Metazoa; Chordata; Aves; Galliformes; Phasianidae
Description: lncRNA (ENSGALG00010029107.1)
Source: RNAcentral